AUGUCUUCAUCGUCCUCCUCCGCAAUGGCCACGCCCUCCCUCGCUUCCCUAGGCCAUACGAUCACGGAGAAGCUGAAUCGUGAGAAUUUCCUCAUCUGGCGCGCGCAGGUUCUGCCGCAUGUGCGCGCGGCAGGCAUGAUGGGAUUCCUCGAUGGUUCCCAGAAGGAACCCGCCGCUGAGAUCCGCACGGAGAGGGACAACGCCGGCAAGAAGGAGAUCACCGUUGCCGUCAAUCCAGAGCACGCCAUCUGGGUGACCCAGGACCAGCAGGUGCUCUCGUUUUUGAUUGCCUCUCUCUCUCGCGAAGUGCUCCUGCAGGUCAGUAACUGCACGACGGCCGCCGCUACCUGGAGCGCUCUCCUUCAGAGCUUCUCCUCGCAAUCUCGCGCCCGCAUCAUCCAGCUCCGUGAUCAGAUCGGCCACACCAAGAAGGGCGAUAUGUCGGCGGCCGCCUACUUCACCAAGAUGAAGGGGCUCGCCGACGAACUUGCAGCUGCCGGAAGGCCCCUGGAUGAAGAUGAUGUUGUCUCUCACAUCAUCCAGGGGCUCAUGCACGAGCCGGAGUACAGCGGGUUCGUGUCCGCCGUCUCCACGCGCACCAUCACCGACCAGCCAAUCGGCCUCGACGAGUUGUUCUCGCUGCUGCUUGCUGCUGAGUCACGCAUCGCCGCACAGACCUCCGCCUACUCCGCCAACCUUGCUGCAAAAGGCGGAGGUCGCGGCAACUUCAACCAGGGUGGCUCUCGUGGCGGCGGCAACAGCGGCUCCCGUGGUGGCUACAACUACAACAACACGGGCUACAACAACAACAACUACUCUGGUGGUGGCGGCUUUGGUGGCGCGCCUCGCCAGGGUGGUGACCGCGGUGACCGCGGUGAUCGCGAGAAGUGCCAGAUCUGCAAGAACGAGGGGCAUGGUGCAUGGCGCUGCAAGAAACGCUACGACCGCAACUUCAACAACAACGUUCGUAACCCUGCUGGUGGUGGAGGCGGUGGUGGCGGCGGUGGAAACCGAUCUGCCAACGCUGUCCACUCCUAUGGAGUCGAUACCAACUGGUAUCUUGACUCUGGCGCAACCAACCACGUGACCGGCGAACUAGAGAAGCUCGCUGUGCAUGAUCGCUACACCGGCUCGGAGCAAAUCCACACCGCAAGUGGUCAAGGAUCGGGCCACUCGGAGGACCAUUCUUCAAAACGAGAGUAG
Molecule: ribosomal RNA, 1203 nt
Filed under: Triticum aestivum (bread wheat)
Lineage: Eukaryota; Viridiplantae; Streptophyta; Magnoliopsida; Poales; Poaceae
Description: partial small subunit ribosomal RNA
Source: RNAcentral